Molecule: small RNA, 285 nt
Filed under: Paracoccus sphaerophysae
Lineage: Bacteria; Pseudomonadati; Pseudomonadota; Alphaproteobacteria; Rhodobacterales; Paracoccaceae
Description: Paracoccus sp. Zy-3 5' ureB small RNA
Rfam family: 5' ureB small RNA
Source: Rfam by way of RNAcentral
UCGUCAACCUGUUGCGGGCAGAUGAAGUGGAUGUGGCAGUCGAUGCCGCCGGCGGUCAGGAUGCGGCCCUCGGCGGCAAUGAUCUCGGUCCCCGGACCGAUCACCAGCGUGACGCCGGGCUGAGUGUCGGGGUUGCCGGCCUUGCCGAUCCCCGCGAUGCGCCCGUCGCGCAGCCCGAUGUCGGCCUUGAUGAUGCCGGUCCAGUCGAGGAUCAGCGCGUUGGUGAUGACGGUGUCCAUCGCGCCCUCGGCCCGGGACAGCUGCGACUGGCCCAUGCCGUCGCGG